RNAcentral lists this long non-coding RNA (319 nucleotides) under Laticauda laticaudata (blue-ringed sea krait). RNAcentral's name for it is "lncRNA (ENSLLTG00000004409.1)". Lineage: Eukaryota; Metazoa; Chordata; Lepidosauria; Squamata; Elapidae. The record is from RNAcentral.
CGGGAGUUAGGACUGCUAAAAUAGGAACUGUCACUAGGUGGCACCAGUCGCCCUAGCGUCGAGAGUGAGGCUGCUCACCGCUCUUCUUCGCAUCUAUGAGCUAAGAGAGCUUUGUCCGGCAAGGGAAAACAGACAUGAUCCGGAAGAUAUCGCUGCGAAUCACCGCCCCUUCCGCUGAACCUUUCCGUUUGUCUCCUUAGCACGAACUGCAAGGACUUCGGUGUCGAGGAAGAGCAAGCAACAAGAAUUCCCUUCUCGGGAAGGGUGCCACGACUGAGCAGACCCUGCUUGAGUAAUCACCAGUUUAUUUGUUUGAUUU